CUUCCGGGUCAGAGUUCAUCCCACACUACGUUAUCAACAAAGCUCGACGAAGCCAUGCUAGCGCAGUGGAACGACCUGCUAUUUGUAGCGAUUAUUAAGUGUUUACACUGCUUAAAGUCUUUUUAAGGCAAUAUGCCAGGUCCCACAGUUCAGUGCGGGACUGCCACAACGGUACCCGUGGGCUAAAGAAGUGGAUGGAAGAGUUUUGCCCUAUUCACGAGUGCAAUAAAGGAACCUCGCGCUGUAUAUGUGACCCGCCUUAUGUACUCGUCACAUUUCCUACUGAAAGAAAAGAUCCAGAAUGUCGUGCCGAAUGGAUUAAAUUAGUAAGUUUGACAUAAGAUCAUAUAUUAUUACCUUCUUUGUAGUCGUUAGCAAGUCUCGUUAGCAAGUUUUGCUCGUCCUUGCUAACCAGAUAAUUAUUGAUAUCUAUGUACAUAAGGAUAAGGAUGAACUUUAUUGAUCCCACAGUGGGGAAAGUUCACCAUUACAGCAGCUCCAAAGAAAAAGUAUAAAGGCAGUGCAGGAAUAGAUAAGAAAAAGAAACAGAGUGCAAAAAUUGCAGAAAAAAAACAUGCAGGGUGGCCAUUUAUUUGCUGCUGUCGACUCAUUCUCCCAACCUUCUCUGAGCUCUAAAGGAUCUGGAAUUCUCAGGUGACACCUGUCAACUUCGAUCUCGAGCAGGGAUUUAUAAUCAAGGUUGACAGCCUCCCUUUCCUGCUGUUUUGUUAAAACUAUUGGGGCCUUUUGAAAAGACAAUGCCCAAGCAAGGGACACGAGUUUUUUCUUUCGCUUCCCGAUAACACUGUAUCCUCGUUUCUUACAAAAUUCCUGUAAAGCAUCGACUUUACAACGCUCAAAGUAAUCAAUAUCUGCGUUGCACUUGGCCAUGUUUAUGAUCUGGGAUGUCCCGACCUUUGAUCCGGACCACCAUACCUCGCUCACGGCGAGAUUCCGAAUUGGCUUAUUUAAUAAGGUCCUCGCCACUGUUCCCUCUAAGCUGCGUGCGUGUGCAAUUGCGCACUGCUGACACGGUCUCCGCGCACAGAAAAUCUGCACUGCCACAAAAAAAAAAAUCCGACCUAAAUUGUAAAUAAAAUAAACACGUAACAAUUCAUUCUGUGCUAUUUUUCAGUGUGAGUCAGUGAGUGACCAGUGACUGGCUGCUGCAGUCAAUGAUGCGAUUCACAUACAUAUUUACCAUAGACUGUAUAUAAUGGUAUUUACGCAGCUAAUCAUCGUCAGGCGUCCUUAUGUGCAGCCAUCGUUGUUCUCAUAGAUAUGAAUGAGUAGAUAGGACACGCCCCUUUGAGCUGAGUGCUACGGCGAGGCUAAGCUAGUGGGGACAAAGUUUCAGUGCAUUCCGUUGAUGUAGAUGGCGUGAAAACAGAAACAAGAAGUAUACCGGCUCACUGGGCUGCAUACACAAUUACACACUGCGUCGUACGAUUGAGACAAGGAAACUUGGAAUGACUUUUCAUAGGUUUCCCAGAGACUAUGGGUUGAGGAGGAAUUGGAAGUUUGUCGGCUUAGACCUGUGUCAUUCCAUCAGUGUUAAACUUCCCGGCUCAUCUUUGAAGAGUACGUGCCAGAAAGACCACGACCAAGCAGCCUUGAGAUCUUAGGCAGCGUCUCCCUGAGACCAAAGAACUACAGACUCUUCACAACCUGCUCAAACUCUUGGUACAGGACCUCACCACACGGGUCAAGAAGGUUUCCAUCUCAUUUCUACUCUGAAGCUCACCUUCUCCUGCUCAAACUGCUGACAAAUGUUUCUGCUGCUCUAAAGUCUGGUCUCCAGAACUUCCUAAAAACUCUCAAAUCUCUUCUGCUGCAGGUUGCUUUGUAGAACUGUUGCAGAAAACCUCACUAAACCACAUGGAGGGGCCUCAAGAUAGUCGUCCAAAUGAAACCAUACAAAAACCAAACUAGUACAACCCAAACGCUAAAGUCUCCUGCAGCCUACCAGAGAACCUCUGAGAACAGAGGAUCAGGACAGGAACUCUUACCUUCUGGACAACCACCGCUGGUUCACAAACAAGAAUACAGACUGUGUCUGACCAAAAACCUCUGAAGACUCACUACAGCCAAGAUAAAGACAACACAGCUGCACCAAAUCCGCUAAUCACUGCACACAUUAGCACCAUGUGCUAACUGUGGCUAAAGAACCUCAUUUACCAAGACAACGAUCCAGUACAAAGCCCUAAACCACACCAAGAAACACAGUAAAGACGAUUUUACUGCUGGAAGCUGCAAGCCAACGCCUAAAGAACAAACUAAAGCAAUGGAGCCAAACCCAGUUCACUGGUGAAGAGAAUCAGAGGAAAGGUUUGUCUACAGCUAAAUAAAGCAGGAAGACACUGAGCUGCUCAGGUGUUCCUGAUAAAACCAAGCAGCCACCUGGACAGCCAAUAGGAACACAGCUUCCUGGAAGUCCAGAGGGCUGGGUUAGUGAAGGAAAUUUAAUUUGAAGUUGAAGCAGAAAGUUAACAAAGAAAGUUGAAAACCACCUUCUGAUCCCUGAAAUCUCUGAGUUUUCACACAAAGAACACCUGAACAUGUCAAACUGGUUCCAUAGUAGAACCAUCAUUGUAAAAACGUCAUAGUAUGGUGUGUUGCUCAAAAAACAUUAGGACCCGGCUGUCAGGGGACAAACAUGUAAGAAACAUGAGAACAGAGAGAACCCAACCAGUAGGUCACAGUUUAUCAUCCCCCAGUCAUCUCCUGAAGUCCAUAUGGUGAGAGACAUCAGUAUCUGGUUGUUAAUUUACCAGAGGAUGCUUAUAAUCAUGAUGAUGUGGUCUGUACUCUACAGUAUUUUAGUGACUCAAUACAUGCCUAAGUUGUUUUUUUUAAAAUGCUUUUUAGUUUUUAAUAAACAUUUAAUAGCCUAUAUGUAAUCAAUAAAUGGCCUUUGCCUAUCUUAAGAAAAACUCACUCAGAAAUCUGAUAUGUUAACAGUACUAAAUAAAUCAAUAAAUACAUGCAUACACACAAAAAUAAGUUAAUACAUUAACUGUGUUAAGAUAAGAUUUAGAUUUUUUUAAAAAAGUUGUUUAUGUUUUUGCACAAUCCAGUAUUGCUCACUGGUUGGUCAUUACAUUUUGUUUAGUUUGAUUUCACUGUUUAAAAUGAUGCCACCUCUUUUCAGACAGAACCUGUGAUAAUAAAACAAUACAAAAUUUUUAGUUCCGUGUUAAUAAAGCACUUAAAGCUUUAAGUAUGGCUAAAUGCUUUUUUCAGAAUUAAAUAUAUCACUCCUUAGGUGGUAGUGGCCCCAAGUUCAGUAAAGUUGGAAAGAUAUUCACAGAUUCAGACUUCCAGCAUCAAUAACUCAUUAGAUAUAGGUUGUCAAAACAUAAACGGUGCCUCUUUCCCAUUGUUGCAAGGCAGACAAUGUGCUACAAGCCCAGUUUUAUCAAAAGUAGCUGUCUUUCAAGCUACAGGAAUAACAUUGGUGUCUAUGGAGUGAACAGGGUCCGUCUGCAAUUUGCAAAACCGCUGCAACAGUAAAGAGAGACAAAUAUUCAAUAACUUCACUCUUAUACAUUGUAGUGUCACUAAAAUCACUGCAGCCUUCAACUGGCUCCUGUUGACAAAGUGUUUUAACAGAAAUGUAAAUGCUGUAAUUUGAUUCUUUUAAUGAACCAUGUAACUUGAAUGGAUGUGAUGCUGGUGUGACCACAGUGCACACGUCUGAUGUUGCUCACAGUGGUCCAAGGGACGCUCAGGGAGUUUGUGUGUUUGCUCAGACUCAGGAAAAAUUACAGGGAACAUUGGUCCUCGCCUUACUAUGUGAAGUGUCUAGAGAUGAUACAUGUUGUGAAUUAGUGCUAUAUAAAUACAACUCAAUUGAAAUUAAAUUAAAGUGUAUCGUUUCUAUAUUUUAGAUUAUCCUUGAUGGCAUAAAAAAGGGUGGAAAAGGUACAUACUACAUACUAUUGUUUUAACCAGACGGAUGAACAAUUUGUUCUCACAGGCCAUCGCUCUAAUAAACAAUUAAAUCUAUAAUGACAGAAACAACUAUUUUUGUAUGAUUAACAACUCAUAACCACUGUAAAUACUGUAUAUUACAUAACUGUUAAUAUUUCAUUCUACAAACAUCGCUCUCUGCUCCAUUGCACUAUUGCAUUGAAAGUGUCAGUAAUCCUGCAUUUAUUGUUAACCUUAUCUAUUCCUAUCAUCAAAAUCUGCACAAUUUACACUAAAUGUUUGGUUCAGUGUAAACAUGUUCUUUUACACAUAUCUUUGGCUGUGAUAUUAAUCGAUAAACACUUACGUUCCUUUCUUUAAUCUGUGGGCCUGGUUUAAAUUCAUGUGUGCUUUUUGGUGUGAAUACUUUGACAGCAAAGAAAACAUUUUUUAUUCAUUGUACGUGUGCAUGUACUUGGCCAAUAAAGAACACCUGCCAUUG
Molecule: long non-coding RNA, 4414 nt
Organism: Amphiprion ocellaris (clown anemonefish)
Lineage: Eukaryota; Metazoa; Chordata; Actinopteri; Pomacentridae
Source: Ensembl